This 257-nucleotide ribosomal RNA is filed under the name uncultured bacterium. RNAcentral's name for it is "partial 16S ribosomal RNA". It matches the Rfam family "Bacterial small subunit ribosomal RNA", at positions 524 to 779 of the family's 1533-position model. The record is from RNAcentral.
UACGUAGGGUCCAAGCGUUGUUCGGAAUUACUGGGCGUAAAGCGCGCGUAGGCGGGUUUGUAUGUCGAUUGUGAAAUCCCCGGGCUCAACCUGGGAACUGCAGUCGAAACUGCAAAUCUUGAAUGUCUGAGAAGGAUGGCGGAAUUCCCGGUGUAGUAGUGAAAUACGUAGAUAUCGGGAAAGAACACCUGAGGCGAAGGCGGCUAUCUGGGCGGUACAUUACGCUAAGGCGCGGAAAGCGUGGGAGCAACAGGAUU